RNAcentral lists this ribosomal RNA (2788 nucleotides) under Acinetobacter baumannii. Its description in RNAcentral is "partial 23S ribosomal RNA". It matches the Rfam family "Bacterial large subunit ribosomal RNA". Lineage: Bacteria; Pseudomonadati; Pseudomonadota; Gammaproteobacteria; Moraxellales; Moraxellaceae. The record is from RNAcentral.
GUUGUAUAGUCAAGUAAUUAAGUGCAUGUGGUGGAUGCCUUGGCAGUCAGAGGCGAUGAAAGACGUGAUAGCCUGCGAAAAGCUCCGGGGAGGCGGCAAAUAUCCUUUGAUCCGGAGAUGUCUGAAUGGGGGAACCCACCUACUUUAAGGUAGGUAUUGCAACAUGAAUACAUAGUGUUGCAAGGCGAACGAGGGGAAGUGAAACAUCUCAGUACCCUUAGGAAAAGAAAUCAAUUGAGAUUCCCUCAGUAGCGGCGAGCGAACGGGGAUCAGCCCAUUAAGUUAUGUGUGUUUUAGUGGAACGCUCUGGGAAGUGCGAACGUAGAGGGUGAUAUUCCCGUACACGAAAGGGCACACAUAAUGAUGACGAGUAGGGCGAGGCACGUGAAACCUUGUCUGAAUAUGGGGGGACCAUCCUCCAAGGCUAAAUACUCCUGACUGACCGAUAGUGAACCAGUACCGUGAGGGAAAGGCGAAAAGAACCCCUGUGAGGGGAGUGAAAUAGAUCCUGAAACCGCAUGCAUACAAGCAGUGGGAGCACCUUCGUGGUGUGACUGCGUACCUUUUGUAUAAUGGGUCAGCGACUUAUAUUCAGUAGCGAGGUUAACCGUAUAGGGGAGCCGUAGAGAAAUCGAGUCUUAAUAGGGCGUUUAGUUGCUGGGUAUAGACCCGAAACCAGGCGAUCUAUCCAUGAGCAGGUUGAAGGUUGGGUAACACUAACUGGAGGACCGAACCCACUGUCGUUGAAAAGCCAGGGGAUGACUUGUGGAUAGGGGUGAAAGGCUAAUCAAGCCUGGUGAUAGCUGGUUCUCCCCGAAAGCUAUUUAGGUAGCGCCUCGGACGAAUACCAUAGGGGGUAGAGCACUGUUUCGGCUAGGGGGUCAUCCCGACUUACCAAACCGAUGCAAACUCCGAAUACCUAUGAGUACUAUCCGGGAGACAGACUGCGGGUGCUAACGUCCGUAGUCAAGAGGAAAACAAUCCAGACCGCCAGCUAAGGCCCCAAAAUCAUAGUUAAGUGGGAAACGAUGUGGGAAGGCAUAGACAGCUAGGAGGUUGGCUUAGAAGCAGCCACCCUUUAAAGAAAGCGUAAUAGCUCACUAGUCGAGUCGGCCUGCGCGGAAGAUGUAACGGGGCUAAAACUAUGUGCCGAAGCUGCGGAUGUAUACUUUGUAUACGUGGUAGGGGAGCGUUCUGUAAGCCGAUGAAGGUGUGUUGAGAAGCAUGCUGGAGGUAUCAGAAGUGCGAAUGCUGACGUGAGUAACGACAAAACGGGUGAAAAACCCGUUCGCCGAAAGACCAAGGGUUCCAGUCCAACGUUAAUCGGGGCUGGGUGAGUCGACCCCUAAGGCGAGGCCGAAAGGCGUAGUCGAUGGGAAAAUGGUUAAUAUUCCAUUACUUCUGUGUAAUGCGAUGAGAGGACGGAGAAGGCUAAAUCAGCCUGGCGUUGGUUGUCCAGGUGAAAGGAUGUAGGCAUGUAUCUUAGGCAAAUCCGGGGUACUCUAUGCUGAGAUCUGAUAGCAAGCUGUACUUGUACAGCGAAGUGGUUGAUGCCAUGCUUCCAGGAAAAGUCUCUAAGCUUCAGUUACACAGGAAUCGUACCCGAAACCGACACAGGUGGUCAGGUCGAGUAGACCAAGGCGCUUGAGAGAACUCUGCUGAAGGAACUAGGCAAAAUGGUACCGUAACUUCGGGAGAAGGUACGCUGUUGUUGGUGAUGGAACUCGCUUCCUGAGCUGACGACAGCCGCAGAAACCAGGCCGCUGCAACUGUUUAUUAAAAACAUAGCACUCUGCAAACACGAAAGUGGACGUAUAGGGUGUGAUGCCUGCCCGGUGCUGGAAGGUUAAUUGAUGGGGUUAGCGUAAGCGAAGCUCUUGAUCGAAGCCCCAGUAAACGGCGGCCGUAACUAUAACGGUCCUAAGGUAGCGAAAUUCCUUGUCGGGUAAGUUCCGACCUGCACGAAUGGCAUAAUGAUGGCGGCGCUGUCUCCAGCAGAGGCUCAGUGAAAUCGAAAUCGCUGUGAAGAUGCAGUGUACCCGCGGCUAGACGGAAAGACCCCGUGAACCUUUACUGCAGCUUGACACUGAACUUUGACCUUACUUGUGUAGGAUAGGUGGGAGGCUUUGAAGCUGGAACGCUAGUUCCAGUGGAGCCGUCCUUGAAAUACCACCCUGGUAAUGUUGAGGUUCUAACUCUGUCCCGUGAUCCGGGACGAGGACCGUGUCUGGUGGGUAGUUUGACUGGGGCGGUCUCCUCCUAAAGAGUAACGGAGGAGUACGAAGGUGCGCUCAGCGUGGUCGGAAAUCACGCGUAGAGUAUAAAGGCAAAAGCGCGCUUAACUGCGAGACCCACAAGUCGAGCAGGUACGAAAGUAGGUCUUAGUGAUCCGGUGGUUCUGUAUGGAAGGGCCAUCGCUCAACGGAUAAAAGGUACUCUGGGGAUAACAGGCUGAUACCGCCCAAGAGUUCAUAUCGACGGCGGUGUUUGGCACCUCGAUGUCGGCUCAUCUCAUCCUGGGGCUGAAGCAGGUCCCAAGGGUAUGGCUGUUCGCCAUUUAAAGAGGUACGCGAGCUGGGUUUAGAACGUCGUGAGACAGUUCGGUCCCUAUCUACCGUGGGCGCUGGAAAUUUGAGAGGAUCUGCUCCUAGUACGAGAGGACCAGAGUGGACGAACCUCUGGUGUACCGGUUGUGACGCCAGUCGCAUCGCCGGGUAGCUAUGUUCGGAAGGGAUAACCGCUGAAAGCAUCUAAGCGGGAAGCCUACCUCAAGAUAAGAUUUCCCUAG